GAGAGAAUAUUAGGCCUUUGUGAUUGGCUUAUUUUACUUGGCAUGAUAGCCUCCAGUUCCAUCCAUUUACUGGCAAAUGCCAUAAUUUUAUUCUUCUUUAUGGCUGAGUAAUACUCCAUGUGUAUAUGUACCACUUACCUUCUUGAUGUAGCUCAUUCAGAUGGCUUAUCUGUUUCCCCUUUGUCCCAGUCUCUCUUUUUUUUUUUUUGUGAUACUGGGGAUUGAACCUAUCUACUGAGCCAUAUCCCCCAGCACCUUUUCUUUUUUUUUUCUUUAGAGACAGAGUUUUGCUGAAUUGCUUAGAGACUUGCUCAGGUUGGCUUUGAACCUGUGAUCCUCCUGCCUCAGCCUCCCAGGCCUCUGGGUUUCUUGAAGAAACCAGCCUGACCUCUUCCUUAGCCUGUAGACCACACAUUCAGCUCUCAUGUUGGCAGCUGUCCAAAGUGCAGAUGAAAACCGCAUCCUUUUGGUCUUCAAAUGUGGUCGCCCCUCUCCAGCUACUAUACAGACCAUAAAGGUGGGUUCUUUGGACUCAGACCUCAUCUCACCUGGUGUCAAGUCUGGCUGCUUUUGUUGAUUUUUUCCCUUUUAUUCUGUGGCUUCAGUAAUGCCCCUGGGGAAGAGGAGCAGUCGGUGCUCACAAGCACAGUAACUGUUCAUUGCAUUGGAAGUGCCAUUCUUGGAAGAAUGCGGAGGCUGUGCUCCUGGGUGAUUAGGUCUGUCCCUAUGGGUUAUUUCCCUACCCAGAGUGACUCCUUAGCAUUCAGAGGUUAAUG
This 776-nucleotide long non-coding RNA is filed under the name Marmota monax (woodchuck). Lineage: Eukaryota; Metazoa; Chordata; Mammalia; Rodentia; Sciuridae. The record is from RNAcentral.